This 652-nucleotide long non-coding RNA is filed under the name Gallus gallus (chicken). Lineage: Eukaryota; Metazoa; Chordata; Aves; Galliformes; Phasianidae. The record is from RNAcentral.
GUAGGAGGUGCGAUGUUCCCGCAGUGCUUGCCCAGCAGGUCGGCUGCUUCGCUGUCUCCAUCUCGGAUCUCAAUGAAGUCAUACUUGCAAUCAUGCUUUUCGAUUUCGAAGUGAGGGUUGAAGUUGAGGAUAAUCUUCUGGUUGGGCUCAGGAGCAUAGAUGACCCACUCGCAGUUCUGGUGGGAGGGGUAGUCAUUGGGGUAGCCUGGGGAGGUGAUGUACCCAGCGUCCUUGGAGUUCAGGCGGCCCCCACACGGCUGAGCUGUCUCCGCCGCGCCUCCGGAGCCGGGCAAGCACAGCCCUAGAAAUCCCCACGCCAAAAGAAACGUAUCCAUCCUUCGCGAGGAAGCCGAUAACCGCAAAACCCCACCGAGAGGCCGCGCGCCGGGCUGCGCUCCCUGCCCCGGAGCCCCGCGUGGGCGGCCCACGGGCGAGCGGCUCCGACGCGGCUCAGCGGGGGUCGGGCUUCCCCGGGCCGGGGCCGCGGGGCGGGCGACGCGGACGGAGCGCUCGUCCCCUAGGGCGACCCGCGGGGCCGGCGCCUCGGCAUCCCCCGGGGCGCGGCGACGGCGGUGCGGGCUGGGGCGCCGUCUGCGCCUCCUCUCGCUCCCCGCCGGCGCCUCGCAGCCUUUUCAGGCAGGGCGGCAUGUGG